AACGUAGGGGACAAGCGUUAUCCGGAUUUACUGGGCGUAAAGCGCCCGUAGGCGGCUUUUUAAGUUGGACGUGAAAGCUCCCGGCUUAACUGGGAGAGGCCGUUCAAAACUGAGAAGCUAGAGUGAGGCAGAGGAGCGUGGAAUUCCCGGUGUAGUGGUGGAAUGCGUAGAGAUCGGGAGGAACACCAGUGGCGAAAGCGGCGCUCUGGGCCUAAACUGACGCUGAGGGGCGAAAGCGUGGGGAGCGAACGGGAUUAGAAACCCCAGUAGUCC
RNAcentral lists this ribosomal RNA (273 nucleotides) under uncultured bacterium. RNAcentral's name for it is "partial 16S ribosomal RNA". It matches the Rfam family "Bacterial small subunit ribosomal RNA", at positions 524 to 796 of the family's 1533-position model. The record is from RNAcentral.